UGCAAGUCGAACGGUGAUGUCAGAGCUUGCUCUGGCGGAUCAGUGGCGAACGGGUGAGUAACACGUGAGUAACCUGCCCCCGACUCUGGGAUAACUGCUAGAAAUGGUAGCUAAUACCGGAUAUGACGACUGGCCGCAUGGUCUGGUCGUGGAAAGAAUUUCGGUUGGGGAUGGACUCGCGGCCUAUCAGGUUGUUGGUGAGGUAAUGGCUCACCAAGCCUACGACGGGUAGCCGGCCUGAGAGGGUGACCGGCCACACUGGGACUGAGACACGGCCCAGACUCCUACGGGAGGCAGCAGUGGGGAAUAUUGCACAAUGGGCGAAAGCCUGAUGCAGCAACGCCGCGUGAGGGAUGACGGCCUUCGGGUUGUAAACCUCUUUUAGUAGGGAAGAAGCGAAAGUGACGGUACCUGCAGAAAAAGCACCGGCUAACUACGUGCCAGCAGCCGCGGUAAUACGUAGGGUGCAAGCGUUGUCCGGAAUUAUUGGGCGUAAAGAGCUCGUAGGCGGUUUGUCGCGUCUGCUGUGAAAUCCCGAGGCUCAACCUCGGGUCUGCAGUGGGUACGGGCAGACUAGAGUGCGGUAGGGGAGAUUGGAAUUCCUGGUGUAGCGGUGGAAUGCGCAGAUAUCAGGAGGAACACCGAUGGCGAAGGCAGAUCUCUGGGCCGUAACUGACGCUGAGGAGCGAAAGCAUGGGGAGCGAACAGGAUUAGAUACCCUGGUAGUCCAUGCCGUAAACGUUGGGAACUAGAUGUGGGGACCAUUCCACGGUCUCCGUGUCGCAGCUAACGCAUUAAGUUCCCCGCCUGGGGAGUACGGCCGCAAGGCUAAAACUCAAAGGAAUUGACGGGGGCCCGCACAAGCGGCGGAGCAUGCGGAUUAAUUCGAUGCAACGCGA
This 899-nucleotide ribosomal RNA is filed under the name Clavibacter michiganensis. Its description in RNAcentral is "bacterial SSU rRNA". It matches the Rfam family "Bacterial small subunit ribosomal RNA", at positions 56 to 964 of the family's 1533-position model. The record is from RNAcentral. Lineage: Bacteria; Bacillati; Actinomycetota; Actinomycetes; Micrococcales; Microbacteriaceae.